CUGGGCUCAAGUGAUCCUCCCACCUCAACCUCCCAAACUGCUGGGAUUACAGGUUUGAGCCACUGCACCCGGCCUAUUCUCACUUUCUAUAUGGCUUCAGGCAUCUUGGAGGGAGGUCAUCACCUCAGAGGUGGAGAAAUGUCAAGCUAGUUGAACAACAGGCACCAAAGAUUUUGAGGAGUGCAGAGCGAAGAGCCUUGGGCUGAGAGCUUGAGUCCUGACUGUUUCAGUGAGACCAGUGAGUACCUUCUCUCUCCAGCUUCUCCAUUUCCACUUCUGCAAACUCUGGACUCCAAGGACCCAAGAUGGCUGGAAACAAGAUGGCGGAGAUGGAGUACCCCUCUAUCGCCCAGGCUAGAGUGCAACCUGAUUCUACAACUUGGCCACAUGAUCCUGAGCAAGUUACAUACCCCUGUUUGAGUUUCAGUUUCCCCUCUGCAACAAAAAAAAAAGGGUUGGAUUAAGUAAUGAUUAAAACCCCUUCCUAGAUUUCUACUGUCAUUUUUUAUU
Long non-coding RNA from Cercocebus atys (sooty mangabey), 510 nucleotides. RefSeq lists it as uncharacterized. Lineage: Eukaryota; Metazoa; Chordata; Mammalia; Primates; Cercopithecidae. The transcript is spliced from 3 exons. The record is from RefSeq and is a predicted model, not a curated record.